This 497-nucleotide ribosomal RNA is filed under the name uncultured bacterium. Its description in RNAcentral is "bacterial SSU rRNA". It matches the Rfam family "Bacterial small subunit ribosomal RNA", at positions 899 to 1397 of the family's 1533-position model. The record is from RNAcentral.
ACUCAAAUGAAUAGACGGGGGCCCGCACAAGCGGAGGAGCAUGUGGUUUAAUUCGAUGAUACGCGAGGAACCUUACCCGGGCUUGAAUUGCAGAGGAAUGUGUCAGAAAUGGUACAGCCGCAAGGUCUCUGUGAAGGUGCUGCAUGGUUGUCGUCAGCUCGUGCCGUGAGGUGUUAGGUUAAGUCCUGCAACGAGCGCAACCCUUACUUUCAGUUGCCAGCACGUAGAGGUGGGGACUCUGGAAGAACUGCCUACGCAAGUAGAGAGGAAGGUGGGGAUGACGUCAAAUCAGCACGGCCCUUAUGUCCGGGGCUACACACGUGCUACAAUGGUAUAUACAGAGGGCAGCUGUUCGGUGACGGAUUUGCUAAUCUCAAAAGUAUAUCUCAGUUCGGAUUGGAGUCUGUAACUCGACUCUAUGAAGUUGGAUUCGCUAGUAAUCGCAUAUCAGCCAUGAUGCGGUGAAUACGUUCCCGGGCCUUGUACACACCGCCCGU